This is a long non-coding RNA of Stegostoma tigrinum, 1752 nucleotides long. RefSeq lists it as uncharacterized. NCBI's taxonomy places the organism in Eukaryota, Metazoa, Chordata, Chondrichthyes, Orectolobiformes, Stegostomatidae. The transcript has 3 exons. The record is from RefSeq and is a predicted model, not a curated record.
AACUGCGCCCUUAAUUUUUUUUUGCGUUUGUGCUCCCUCCGCAUAUAAUUGUUUGUCAGAAACAUGCUCUACCAUGCGAUGGGCUAUGUGCUUUAGCACUCCCCUCCCCCUUGUUUCUGGGCUUUCAAAAUGCUGGUUAGAGAGGCAGCUGGGAGGAGACAUUUUGUGGAGAAUUGGCUGUUCGGCGGCGGCAGGAAUUGAGUGUGCUGACCAUAACCCUCUUUUUCUCACUGCUGAUGUCAUUAGUGGACUAUGCACAAAAUGUCUGCUUUUCAAGAUGCCUUUGGCAAGUAAUUUAGAAAGCAUCUACUUUGCAUCUGCACAGUAUAACUACAGGCAAACAGGAAGAUCUUGGAGCUGUGGUCAAUCCAGGUAAGACAUGCUUGACGAUCUGAUGAAGGAAAAUGCUACAUUACUCACCUCAGGAAUGAACUGAAUGGACUCAACAAAGUUAUCCAAUGACACCUCCCAGAUAGCAAGUUUUACUGCAAUCAAGAUAAAAUUAGAAACUUUUAAAAUCACCAAAGAUUUUAAUAACUUGGAUGAAAUAUUCUAAAUGCCUGGACUCUGCAGGAAAGAGUGGAAGUAGGACAGCACUCCUGAGAAACAUCAGCAUUCACUCUAUUCCUCCAAAGCACAAGUAUAGAAACAGCACCUUAUAAGACAGGUCACAAAUCAGAGCAGUCAUACUAGAAUAUCCAGCACUUCCACAUUUGCUUAAGGGAAAUGUUUUGGGAUUCUAUUAUUACAGGACAUAGAUUUAAACACUCCCCUUUCCUUGCCCUUGUGAAGUUACUGAGCAAAUAGCAGCAGAUAGGAAUGGGCUGCAAGUUCAGUGCCAUUAUUUCCAGGGCCCUACUAUGUUGUCUUUGGUUUUACAGUUUUUAGCUAUGCAUCAAUACCAGCUCAUACUUGCUAUGGGAUGGUUAAUAUCAAGGUCGAAUUGUCUGAACUCUAAUGCUCUAGCUAUAUCUACAUUAAUUUACAUGUUGACUAAAUGGUACUAAAGAAUUCAUAGAGACUGUUUAAUACAAGAAACAAUUCUGUUCUAGGCUUUUGGGUUUUCACCAAACAUUGAAAAUACCUUAAUCAAGCAAAAUAUUGUUCAUUCUGAAAACCUGAAAUGCAAACAGAAAAUGCUGGAAAUACCAAGUUGGGGCACAUUCUACGGAGAGAGAAACAGAAGUAAUGUUCCACGUCUGAUCUGAUGUAAGGACUUAAAACUUGAAAUGUUAAUUUUGUUUCUCAGAUGUUGCCUAAUCUGUUAAGUAUUUCCAGCAUUUUCUGUUUGUAUUUAAAACAAUACAGCUCUUACUCUGCAAUCCGGUAAUUAAUUUCCUCAUUUUCCCAAUGAACCAAAGCGAUUUCAUAAGGUUGGAUCUCAUGUGGUUCCAAGAUUUGCAUUACACGUUUCACCUAAAGGCAGAGAAUUUGGAGACUGUUUUAAAUGACAGACAAGAAAUAUAAUUCAUGGAUAAUAAAAUGUGAGGCUGGAUGAACACAGCAGGCCAAGCAGCAUCUCAGGAGCACAAAAGCUGACGUUUCGGGCCUAGACCCUUCAUCAGAAUUCAUGGUUUGUUUCAGAAGCAAGUUUCGCAAAACAUAACUUGCAAGAAAAUUAGAAAUCAAACUUAAUACAAAUUCUCAUUAUUUCAACCUGCGUGAUUCAACAUUUUUCUUAAUGAGCAUAACUUUAAUGCUGACAUUAACCCAAUAAUUUAAUGUCCCCAUUAAAGUUAAGCAAUAAGUACC